AGCAGCGGGUCAACCAGGCCGCCGACCACAAUCAGAACAGGAUCGUCGUUGUGCGUUCGUCGGCGGCGACGUCGGCGGAGGGCAGCCCCAACGCCCGCGGCAUCGGCCUCAAUGGAAAUGUCGUGGCCGCCGCCACACCGACCCCCAGCCCCCCGUCCGGGACCACGGGAGCGAAACAUCUGCGACCUGGAGUCAACGAAGCUAAGCGCGAGGAGGCUGUCGAUCGGCUAAACCGGCUCAACAAGGACGACUGCGAGCUCAAAACGGAGCUCCUUAGCACCGACGCCUUGCUCACUGAUGGAGAUCCGAUCAAGUUGCCGGAAAAUUUGGAGACUUUACCCCGUGCGGAGCAUUUU
Long non-coding RNA from Ceratosolen solmsi marchali, 356 nucleotides. RefSeq lists it as uncharacterized. Lineage: Eukaryota; Metazoa; Arthropoda; Insecta; Hymenoptera; Agaonidae. The transcript has 3 exons. The record is from RefSeq and is a predicted model, not a curated record.